This 229-nucleotide ribosomal RNA is filed under the name uncultured bacterium. Its description in RNAcentral is "partial 16S ribosomal RNA". It matches the Rfam family "Bacterial small subunit ribosomal RNA", at positions 568 to 796 of the family's 1533-position model. The record is from RNAcentral.
CGCGUAGGCGGCCUGGUAAGUCAGAUGUGAAAGCCCGGGGCUUAACCCCGGAAGUGCAUUUGAUACUGUCAGGCUUGAGUAUGGGAGAGGGAAGUGGAAUUCCUGGUGUAGAGGUGAAAUUCGUAGAUAUCAGGAGGAACACCGGUGGCGAAGGCGACUUCCUGGACCAAUACUGACGCUGAGGCGCGAAGGCGUGGGGAGCGAACAGGAUUAGAUACCCUGGUAGUCC